AUGCAUUUUACUCUCUUAUUUAUAUACACGAACAACCCCACCCAACACCGAGAUACCCCAAAGGCCCAAAGACCCGACAGAUUCGCGAGAGCUCGAGAGAGUGCGACCAAAAUGGCGAUGAGAUGCGCGCUGACCUCCCUCCCCGCGCGCCUCCGGUCCCCGGCGGUGGUCGCCAGCGGGACCCGGCGCCUUCUGAGUGACGGGAAGGGGCGCGUGCUCAGCGAGGAGGAGCGCGCCAAGGAGAACGUCUACAUCCAGAAGAUGGAGAGGGAGAGGCGGGAGAAGCUCAAGAAAAAGCUCGAACAGGAGAAGGAUGCGGCCGACAAGGCUAAGUCCGGCGCCGACGGCAAGAAGGCCGAGGGAACUAACUAG
This 372-nucleotide ribosomal RNA is filed under the name Triticum aestivum (bread wheat). RNAcentral's name for it is "partial small subunit ribosomal RNA". The record is from RNAcentral. Lineage: Eukaryota; Viridiplantae; Streptophyta; Magnoliopsida; Poales; Poaceae.